UAUUAUUCUCUCUCCUAAAAAACCCUAGCCACCGCCCCUUGCAAAGAGAAGAGUUUUUCUCUCAUUUUCGUAUUCUAUCUUAGGGCAAACCAAUUAAUCUAGCAGUUAAUUUGUUUGUGAUUCCCGUCCUGCUUUUGUGUGGAUACUGUCUUGUUCAAUUUUGCCUUGAAUCGAUUUGCGAAGGCCAAAUCCGAAUCCGUUUGAAGGAGCCACCAAUGCAGGUGCUUAAAAAAUAAUAUUUGGGUGAAGAAUAAUGUCGGCGAGGAAAUUUUUGAUGGCUAAGAACAAAUAGUUUGUGAAUCAAAGUUGAAACGAGGAAGCUAUGGCAUUUCAAGUAUCAUUGGUCAUGCUGAGUCAAGUUCAGCCAGCUCGCACAUGUGCACACGAGUUUGAGACAAAAAGGGGUGGUGCAACAUUCAAAACCUUGCAUCGCAGUGGUGAUGGCUCGAGUUUGUAUCAGAUAUGAAAAAGGACAAGCGUCGCGUCAUUACAAAUUGCACAUUGCGGCAGUGAGGCUACAGGUGUGUAAACAGAAUAAGACGGACGUGGCAUCAAAAAAGGAACGUUACUGCCCGCGUGGAGGAAUCUGAAAUGUAGGUGUUUUCUGAUAAGUUUUAUUCCAAUUUUCUUAGUUUAAUUCACCUAUAAUUGUUUCAAAAGUACCCCUAAAACGCUAGCACUAUAAAUAGAUGUCUUUAGCAAUUUUUAGAAAAAGAAGGAAUUGUGGUACAAAGGAGGAGACAAAAGAAUAAAGAAAGGAAGGAAGCAAUUCGGAAGUCUUGCAGCAACACCAUCGAUCAACCCAAUUUACCUAAGCUUUUCCACUCUCUUCUAUUGUUUGUUCUCAUGAAUACUAUUCUAGAUUUAUUAUUUUCUAUGGAUAACUAAUUUUCCUGUGAUUGGGGGUGAUUUCAAAGCUCUAUACAUGUUUUGGGAUAAUUUAUAGAAUCUGCAAUUUCCUUUCUUACUA
Pistacia vera is the source of this 970-nucleotide long non-coding RNA. RefSeq lists it as uncharacterized. Lineage: Eukaryota; Viridiplantae; Streptophyta; Magnoliopsida; Sapindales; Anacardiaceae. The transcript is spliced from 2 exons. The record is from RefSeq and is a predicted model, not a curated record.